GAGGGGCAGCGGGGAGGAAGCUUGCUUUCUCCGCCGGCGACCGGCGCACGGGUGAGUAACACGUAUGCAACCUGCCCCUGUCAGGGGGACAACCCGCCGAAAGGCGGGCUAAACCCGCGUACAUGCCACCGGGGCAUCCCGGAGGCAGGAAAGGCUUCGGCCGGACAGGGAUGGGCAUGCGGCGCAUUACGCAGUAGGCGGGGUAACGGCCCACCUAACCGACGAUGCGUAGGGGUUCUGAGAGGAAGGUCCCCCACACUGGUACUGAGACACGGACCAGACUCCUACGGGAGGCAGCAGUGAGGAAUAUUGGUCAAUGGUCGGGAGACUGAACCAGCCAAGCCGCGUGAGGGAGGAAGGUACAGAGUAUCGUAAACCUCUUUUGUCAGGGAACAAAGGCGGGGACGUGUCCCCGGAAAAAAAAACCUGAAGAAAAAGCAUCGGCUAACUCCAAGCCAGCAGCCGCGGUAAUACGGAGGAUGCGAGCGUUAUCCGGAUUUAUUGGGUUUAAAGGGUGCGCAGGCGGUCUGUUAAGUCAGCGGUCAAAGCCCGGGGCUCAACCCCGGCCCGCCGUUGAAACUGGCAGUCUCGAGUUGGAGAGAAGUAUGCGGAAUGCGCGGUGUAGCGGUGAAAUGCAUAGAUUUCGGGAAGAACUCCGAUUGCGAAGGCAGCAUGCCGGCUCCACACUGACGCUGAGGCACGAAAGCGUGGGU
This 713-nucleotide ribosomal RNA is filed under the name uncultured bacterium. Its description in RNAcentral is "bacterial SSU rRNA". It matches the Rfam family "Bacterial small subunit ribosomal RNA", at positions 64 to 766 of the family's 1533-position model. The record is from RNAcentral.